GGCGAGCGAACGGGGAGGAGCCCAGAGCCUGAAUCAGCAUGUGUGUUAGUGGAAGCGUCUGGAAAGGCGCGCGAUACAGGGUGAGAGCCCCGUACACAAAAGCGCACGUGCUGUGAGCUCGAUGAGUAGGGCGGGACACGUGGUAUCCUGUCUGAAUAUGGGGGGACCAUCCUCCAAGGCUAAAUACUCCUGACUGACCGAUAGUGAACCAGUACCGUGAGGGAAAGGCGAAAAGAACCCCGGCGAGGGGAGUGAAACAGAACCUGAAACCGUGUACGUACAAGCAGUGGGAGCCCCACCACUAAGCCAGUGGUGAACUCCACAUACGCAUCCUUUGCUGAGGAUGCGGUUAACGGAGCGAAAGCGACGUUCAACCGCAAAAGAAGCAGAGGGGGCUUAGUGGUGGGGUGACUGCGUACCUUUUGUAUAAUGGGUCAGCGACUUAUAUUCUGUAGCAAGGUUAACCGCAUAGGGGAGC
This 478-nucleotide ribosomal RNA is filed under the name Salmonella enterica. RNAcentral's name for it is "partial 23S ribosomal RNA". It matches the Rfam family "Bacterial large subunit ribosomal RNA", at positions 248 to 666 of the family's 2925-position model. The record is from RNAcentral. Lineage: Bacteria; Pseudomonadati; Pseudomonadota; Gammaproteobacteria; Enterobacterales; Enterobacteriaceae.